AGUAACAUGACGAUAAGAAUGCCACUCAAUCAUCAACAAAGUAGUCGUGUUAAAGCGACUUAUCCUGUCAUGUAUACAUUUCCCUGAAAUCGCCAGCCUUAAAGGGAUGCGACCCGAGCUACUCAGCCAGCGAAAAGUAAUUGUAACCCGAUCCUGUGUCGCUGGAUGUACAUAAAUACCAGUUCCAGUUUCCGUCGAUCGCGUCCAAGUUCAUUGGGAGUAUGGAGUAUGGAGUGUGGAGUUUGGAGUGGGGAAUGGGCGAUGUCCGGCCUGACGUUUAUGAAAAGCCAUCGCAGCAUCAAAGCCAAUUAAGAUACCGGGGCACAUACAAGCCCUAAAGGAAUACGCGGCUAAUUUCUGCGACAAAGCCGACAAACGAUCGAGUUCGAGUUCGAGUUGGAGUCUUGGGGCACAAGAAGCGGCACUUUUGUCGCAACACACAGGCCGUAAAAUUAAGAACUCUGAUUGGUAACAAAUGUU
RNAcentral lists this small RNA (480 nucleotides) under Drosophila yakuba. RNAcentral describes it as "GE27650". Lineage: Eukaryota; Metazoa; Arthropoda; Insecta; Diptera; Drosophilidae. The record is from RNAcentral.